GGAGGGGAGGGCGGGAAGAAAGGAGGGCGUGGUCUGUGCAGCUCCUCACUCCUCUCCUCCCGUCUUCUCCUUCU
This is a non-coding RNA of Bos taurus (domestic cattle), 74 nucleotides long. NCBI's taxonomy places the organism in Eukaryota, Metazoa, Chordata, Mammalia, Artiodactyla, Bovidae. The record is from Rfam.